CAAACUGGAGAUGGCGACCGGCGCACGGGUGAGUAACACGUAUCCAACUUGCCGAUAACUCGGGGAUAGCCUUUCGAAAGAAAGAUUAAUACCGGAUGGCAUACGAAUAUCGCAUGAUAUUUUUAUUAAAGAAUUUCGGUUAUCGAUGGGGAUGCGUUCCAUUAGUUUGUUGGCGGGGUAACGGCCCACCAAGACUACGAUGGAUAGGGGUUCUGAGAGGAAGGUCCCCCACAUUGGAACUGAGACACGGUCCAAACUCCUACGGGAGGCAGCAUG
This 276-nucleotide ribosomal RNA is filed under the name uncultured bacterium. RNAcentral's name for it is "partial 16S ribosomal RNA". It matches the Rfam family "Bacterial small subunit ribosomal RNA", at positions 77 to 353 of the family's 1533-position model. The record is from RNAcentral.